AGAUGAAAAGGACUUUGAAAAGAGAGUUAAAAAGUGCUUGAAAUUGCUGGGAGGGAAGCGAAUGGAUGCCUUUGUUGCCCGCUGGUUGUGUGCGGAACGGCGUAAAAGCUGGUCUGUCAACCAACUCAGCGGGCUCGCUAGUGUGGGGGUGGAUGCCUGGACAAAGAUCCCGGGCUUUCUGUUCGGGAUUGAUGCUGGUGUCCACUCUGUGGCCUUGGGUGUGCGCCUUUCUGGCGGGUUUGUUUACCCUGCACGCCCGGGACGCUGGUGGCUUUUGGUUUUUCAUUCGACCCGUCUUGAAACACGGACCAAGGAGUCUAACAUGUAUGCGAGCCUGCGGGUUUGACACCUCGCUAGGCGUAAGGAAACUGAUGCGUGGGAUCCCCUUUGUGGGUGCACCACCGACCGACCAUGAGCUUCUGCGAAAGGUUCGAGUUGAAGCAUACCUGCUGGGACCCGAAAGAUGGUGAACUAUGCCUGAGCAGGGCGAAGCCAGAGGAAACUCUGGUGGAGGCUCGUAGCGAUACUGACGUGCAAAUCGUUCGUCAGACUUGGGUAUAGGGGCGAAAGACUAAUCGAACCAUCUAGUAGCUGGUUCCCUCCGAAGUAUCCCUCAGGAUAGCUGGAGCUCAUAUUGAGAGUUUUAUCAGGUAAAGCGAAUGAUUAGAGGCAUUGGGGGUGAAACACCCUCGACCUAUUCUCAAACUUUAAAUAGGUAAGGUGUCGGGGUUGCUCCGGUGAACCCCGACCUUUGAA
This 756-nucleotide ribosomal RNA is filed under the name Lycopodioides jiulongensis. Its description in RNAcentral is "Selaginella jiulongensis partial 26S ribosomal RNA". It matches the Rfam family "Eukaryotic large subunit ribosomal RNA", at positions 362 to 1113 of the family's 3401-position model. The record is from RNAcentral. Lineage: Eukaryota; Viridiplantae; Streptophyta; Lycopodiopsida; Selaginellales; Selaginellaceae.